ACAUAGGCCUCUCCCAGAGCACGCCACUGGAUGCGAGCUUUCACCUCACUUGACUGAAAUUCCGUAUUGGUAAAUUCAGUGAAGUGUGGCGAAGACCUAAGUAAGCUGUCCCACCAAGAUCAGGAGAUAUUGGCAACGGCAUGCGUACUAAUCCACACCUACGGAUGCCGUCGCAGCAGUGAGUAGGUACCUAUUAUGUUUUGCAGCUAAUCAUAAAGGCCCACAUUCACUGGCGCACAGAUCCGCAGAUUUGUCGCUGGCGACAAGUCCGCGAAGAAAUCAGCGUGUGAAUGGGUAGGUAGGUGGGUGGUCUGGGUUCGCGAACGCUGAAUAAAGUUGACAAUCGACUGGAGUACAACUCGGGGUUCGUGUAGGUAGUGUGUGGCGAUGACGGAUUUGUCCACGGAAUGGUACGGCUCGCGGUGCGUGAAGUGAAUGGGGGUGCUAGGCCGCGUCCACGGCGGCGGGUAGAGCGGCGGCACGCACUAUUAUUAUCUGUGACUGCCGAGCCGUCGCCGCCGCCCACUCGCAUCGCAUCACCCGCUCAGCCCGCUUGCGUCGUGGACGCAGCCUUAGAAAUCUUAUGCGUGACAGCUACAUUAUUCUGAGAUAUGGACUAGUUAUUAUUAUGUGGGAAGCUUGUCGUUGGACCUUGACAUGAGACUUUGACAAGUUUGACAUAUCGCUCUACUCUGUAAUAACUCUGUAUUUUUUUCUUAUUUUUGGGGGAAUGUUGUUUGUUGUUGUGUUGAAUUAAAUUUUAUUUCUGUAAUGGUUUAUUUAUCUUACUCACAACACAACAGUUCAUAUCUGUAACUAAAUAGUAACUGAAAGGCUUACAGUCUUAAUGAAUAUAUAAUUUACAUAAGUGCGUUUUCUUUAAGUGAUUUUAGAGGAUCUAAAACUUACUACUAACUUUACUAAAUGUAACUAUGGAUGUGGAUAUUGUGGAUUUAGAUGCAGAUAUUGAGAUAGAUCCUGAUCUAUUCAUUAAAUGUCGUCUGUGUAUAGAAGAGAUUGGAUCUUUACAUAUACAUCAAUCACUGCAGGCUCAAAUUAAAUUCUGUUUCGAUAUUAAUGUUCAAGACUUUGACUACCUGUCUAAAUUAUUAUGCAAAAAAUGCAGAACUAUUUUGGAAGACUUUGCUACAGUAAAAAAGAAGUUCCUUGCAAACCAAACAAUAUUACUAGAUAAAGUAAAGUCAAAGGAAAACACACGGGAAGGUAAUCAAACAAAAGCAGAGUGUAAUCAUAUUAAAGGAAAACACAAGGAAAAUGCAGAUGAGGAAAGUGCUGAUCACGUAAAAGAGACCCGAAAAGAAGAAUUUAAAACAACAAAAAACACAAAGAAAAGAAUUAUAAGAGAUUCACUUUUUAUAUCAAGUGAUGAUGAAGACAAUAUCAGUCAUGGUCAGUAUGUCCGUCGUAGCAGUAAAAGGAGAAAAACUAAAAUCUUGCGUUCUACAGAAUCAUCAUGUGAAAAUGAAGUGGAGCUUGUAGCUAAGGAAAAAGAAACCAUUGAUGAUGACAAACAACUCUCAUGGGAUCAAUGUUAUCAAAAGUUGUACAUAUGCAGGUUUUGUGAUUACAAGGACUACACAAAAGAAGGCAUAAUUAUGCAUGGUAAAAUACAUUCUAAAUUGAUGGAUUCCUAUAAGAUUUUAAAGAGACAUUGCACAAUCCGAAUGGAAAAAAUUGAUGAUAGACCAAACGUAACUGGAGACGUGGUAAAUGUUGUCCUAAGCCUUGAUAACAUUGUCUCUGGUGCGAAUAAUAUUAGUUAUUACGUCAAAUAUAUUUUGCCUGAACAAUGUUGCGAGAGUAACCAAAUAUCUACAUUGAAAAAUAUUGCAUGUGAUUCUUCAAAAGAUAUAGUUACAAAAUAUCGUAACAGAAAUGAAACCGUUGUUCUUGAAGGUAGUAAAAUCCCAAUAUCUGAUGGAGAUAGCAAUACAAACAACAGUGUAAAAAAAACAAAAACUGUUUCGGUGUCAUCUGAUAUUCCAUGUAUUGAUAUUUUAGAUACUUCAUCUAAUGAUAGUACUGUGCAGUUGAAAGAUAAACAUAUAACAAAGAAUGAUGCAUUAAAAAUUAUUAAAGAUGUCUCUACUGAUUGUUUUAAAAACUACCGAGCGGGUUAUAACAAUGUUUCGCAAAAGAACGCAAAGAAAAAAAAAUUGAAUAAAAUUCUUCAAACGAAAUUAUUGAGAGUUAAAAAGAUGAUGCCAACAAAUGUACCCAGAGGUUCAAAAACACCUGAUCUUUUGACGUAUUUACAAUACAAAAAUGCUCGCAUAAACUGGAUACCUGUAUGCAAGAAUUUUUCUUGCAGAAUCGUUUCCGAAAUGACGCCACAGAAUACAAACGAAAAUUUUACAGGCUGGUAUGCUAUCAAAAAUAAUGUAGAUUUUGAAGUUAGAGAAAGAAUCCCAGAUGAUUUUCAAUGUGAUCAAAUCCCAGAGAAGCCCAAUGAUUUACAUAAGACAAUAGAAAAUAAGGAACUACAAACAAACAUUUAUGAACCAGAUAUUAAUAAUGUCGUUGACACAAACGCAGCCAGUGCGAAUGCCACAAGUGAAAAUUCUUCAACAACAGUUAUACCAGUUGAAAAUAAAAAUAUAAGACCAGCUGUAUCACAUCAAAUUGUGGACAUAAAUUUAGAGCAAGGCAACAAACUUCUCAAUACUAACCCUGUAGCUAAUCCCAAACAGCUUCAAAAAAUUAAAUUUGUACCUAUUUAUGAAGAGAAGGAAUCAGUAGAUUUAAAUGGUCCAUCGAAAACCACCGUGAUUGUCAAAGAUAGCUUACUUAAAAAUAUUCUUUCUCAAGGAUCGCCAUUAGUAAGACAGAACCAGCAAUCAGAGUUGCCUAUGCCUAUUAUAACGUCUACAACUUCCUUAGCAGAAAAGUUCAAAACCACACCCAUGAGACAAAAUAGUAUAGAGAUUAGUAAUAAAACUGAGGCACUAUCAGAUCAAAGUAAUGAAACGGAAAUUAGUAUACCACGAAUUAAAUGCAAACCAGUAUCAGAGUUAAUGCCUCAAUCAAUCCAACCUGUUCAGGAAGUGGCAAGUGUAAGCCUUGAUUCUGUAAUUUCAAAAAUGAAACCUAUUCCGUCUGGACAAGUAUCUUCUUUUACUGCUAACGCUCAAAGGGACACAAGGAAAGUUACAGUCAAUAGUGUUCACUUACGAAACUCGUCAUCAAUAAGUCCUAUUGAAUACUUUAAAAUUGUGCUAAAAAUGCACGGUCUGGAAUUGAUAACACAAGUAAAUUAUGUGUUAACCCAUGACUUUGUGUGUCUUGUAAAAUUUAAAGCAGUGUUUCCUGAUAAAAUAACUAUAUGGCUCUAUUUAUUUGCACACAAAAGUACAUUCUGCUUCAAGCUGAAGAAUUUGACGGGAGAAAUGGACCUGGACCUGCUGCCUCCUGCCUGGCAGAUGAAGAUCCUGCAAGUCUAUUGCGAAGUGUCGGAAAAUGUUCUGCAAUACUCUAGGACAUUAAAUGAAAGGAUCCAUAGCAACGCAAAGCAAUUUGUUGUACUGCUAAAAAAUAUUAAGUUUACGAUUACUCCAGUUUAAGGUGUAAUAAUAUUUACUUAUUAGAAUAAGUAGUUAGUGUAAAUAUCUUACUUCACUGAUAUGAGACGCUAAGAAAUAUAAUUAUGUGUAAGUAAUGAAAUUGAUAAGGAGUAAAUACCUGUAAUGUAAAUAAUUAAAUAUAGGUUACGUAUGUAGCUAAAAGUUCAUUAAUAUUAGCUUUUCGAAAAAAAACAGUUUUAUACCACUAACCUCUGUUAUUUUAAUUUUAGUACAAACUUACUUAAAUAUAGGUUAGGUAUUCGUAAGUUUUUUACAGACUAGCUAAAGGAUCAUAAAUAUCAGCUUUUCGAAGAAAAAAAACUGUUUUGUAGUUGUACUUACUUACAUAUAACAUGUAAUUAGUUACU
Molecule: long non-coding RNA, 3949 nt
Organism: Plutella xylostella (diamondback moth)
Lineage: Eukaryota; Metazoa; Arthropoda; Insecta; Lepidoptera; Plutellidae
Source: RefSeq, a predicted model, not a curated record